Molecule: long non-coding RNA, 848 nt
Organism: Juglans microcarpa x Juglans regia
Lineage: Eukaryota; Viridiplantae; Streptophyta; Magnoliopsida; Fagales; Juglandaceae
Exons: 2
Source: RefSeq, a predicted model, not a curated record
AAUCAAACAAAAACCAACAUCCAAAACGUGACUCACGGCCACGAUAGGGGAGUUCCCAGAAAUUUCACUCGCAGCAACAUUUUUCUUCCAAGGUCUGUGGAAAAAAAGAACAUGAAGCCCUUCGAUGCUGGCAUCAAUUUGACGAAGCUUACCAAGAUGAUGAAGUUCCACAAGCAUUGGCAGCAAUGACAACAUCCAAUGGGGCUGAUGAAGAGUGGAUGGUUGAUUUGGGGGUCUCGGCACAUAUGACUACACAAUCAGGUAUAUUACAAAACUUACGCCCCUAUCAUGGUUGUGAUCAUGUCAUGGUCGACAAUGCUACAAUGUUGCUGAUCACUCGUAUUGGUGAAACCUAUGUUUGGUAAUCCUCCAAACUCUAUUAAAUUUGAUAAUGGUUUACUAGUCCUUGAUCUCGAAAAAAAUUUACUUUCCAUUGGGCAAUUAACUACUGAUUAUCCUAUUAAUUGUGAGUAUUUUGGUGUUGGAUUCACAAUAAAGCAUAGGAAUACCAACAUAACACUGCUGACAGGCCACAAGCAAGGUAAUUUGUAUAGCCUAGCCACCUCCCCGGAAGCUCAUUUUUUAGUGCGCUUUUAAGCUGUAGACAAGCAUCUUUGGCAUCAACUACUUGGGCAUCCUCAAGCUGCAACCAUCCAAUCUCUCCAAUCUCUUGGUUUAAUAAAAAUAAUUGGCCCAAAUAAGCCAUUUUCUAUAUGUGAUAGUUGUCAACUUUACAAAACAAGUUGUUUACCUUUUAUUUCUUUCUCCUCCAAAAAGUUUGGACUUUUCAAAAAAAUUCAUUGUGAUCUUUGGGGUCCUUCCCCCAUUAACUCUAUUGAUAAAUUUUC